GAUGAACGCUGGCGGCGUGCCUAAUACAUGCAAGUCGAGCGAACAGAUGAGGAGCUUGCUCCUCUGACGUUAGCGGCGGACGGGUGAGUAACACGUGGAUAACCUACCUAUAAGACUGGGAUAACUUCGGGAAACCGGAGCUAAUACCGGAUAAUAUAUUGAACCGCAUGGUUCAAUAGUGAAAGACGGUUUGCCUGUCACUUAUAGAUGGAUCCGCGCCGCAUUAGCUAGUUGGUAAGGUAACGGCUUACCAAGGCAACGAUGCGUAGCCGACCUGAGAGGGUGAUCAGCCACACUGGAACUGAGACACGGUCCAGACUCCUACGGGAGGCAGCAGUAGGGAAUCUUCCACAAUGGGCGAAAGCCUGACCGAGCAACGCCGCGUGAGUGAUGAAGGUCUUCGGGUCGUAAAACUCUGUUAUUAGGGAAGAACAAAUGUGUAAGUAACUAUGCACGUCUUGACGGUACCUAAUCAGAAAGCCCCGGCUAACUACGUG
This 497-nucleotide ribosomal RNA is filed under the name uncultured bacterium. Its description in RNAcentral is "partial 16S ribosomal RNA". It matches the Rfam family "Bacterial small subunit ribosomal RNA", at positions 28 to 507 of the family's 1533-position model. The record is from RNAcentral.